Molecule: ribosomal RNA, 467 nt
Filed under: uncultured bacterium
Lineage: Bacteria
Description: partial 16S ribosomal RNA
Rfam family: Bacterial small subunit ribosomal RNA
Source: RNAcentral
GACGAACGCUGGCGGCGUGCUUAACACAUGCAAGUCGAACGGAAAGGCCCUGCUUUUGUGGGGUGCUCGAGUGGCGAACGGGUGAGUAACACGUGAGUAACCUGCCCUUGACUUUGGGAUAACUUCAGGAAACUGGGGCUAAUACCGGAUAGGAGCUCCUGCUGCAUGGUGGGGGUUGGAAAGUUUCGGCGGUUGGGGAUGGACUCGCGGCUUAUCAGCUUGUUGGUGGGGUAGUGGCUUACCAAGGCUUUGACGGGUAGCCGGCCUGAGAGGGUGACCGGGCCCAUGGGGCUAGGGGAGGGAGCCGGACCCAAUCGGGCGGAAGGGGGGGGAACAUUAGGAAGAAGGGCGGAGGGAGUGAGGAAGGCCGCCGGGUGGGGAAAGUCGGCUUUGGGGGUAGAACCAAUUUGUGCGUAUCGAGGCGCGUGUGGACGGGAAAUGGGUAAAAAGCCACGGCUAAAUACGUG